CAAAUGCCCACAUGCCUUUGUUUUCUUUUCUUGGGUGAUGACACUGACAACAUUCUGUUUUUACAGGUGGCCUCCUUGCUGAAAUGUAGAGAGAAAACUGUAAACAGCAAUUUGCGUCCUGUUUACCCAUGUUUUUCUGUGCUGUAGUUCCCUGGCAGCUCUGCCAGACAUGGAGGGGAAUAUAGGCAGUAGCAGAGAAGGGUUCCCUCUCACUACUCCGAGAUCCCAGUGUGGCAACAAUCCAGUAACAGCACCAGCAGAAUGCAGAAAGGGCAGCACUGUACCUCCUCCAUGAAUGGCCUGAGACCAUUGUGAUUCACUCUGGGGAAAGCCAUUUGCCAUGCUGUGGACGGCACCAUGGAGAGGCCCGGAUGGUAAUGAAUUGAAGUCUCCUGACAA
Molecule: long non-coding RNA, 399 nt
Organism: Sus scrofa (pig)
Lineage: Eukaryota; Metazoa; Chordata; Mammalia; Artiodactyla; Suidae
Source: RefSeq, a predicted model, not a curated record